UGUGCUCUUCGUGCUCCUGAGCCGUUUUCGAUGAUGGAAUUUUCGAAUCGACGAUCGGCUCCGUUAAACUUGAUCUAGGGUAUUUGAAGUUUCUAGAAAAUAAUUUUUGCUAUUUUUUGAUAUCAUUUACUUAUUGAUCGAAAUGAUUUAAAAUCAAUCAUUUUUAAUGGUUGAUAUCUGCCGUUUUCAAAUUUAACGGUGUAGAAGUAUUAAAAUCGGAUGAAAUUUUGAUACAAAAUUGUUUAUACUAUUUACAACAAGAUCAAUAUUUCUGAUCAAAAAUUUUAAUGCUAUAUCACCCAUUUUUAUAGAAUUUUUAUUUUCAACCGUUAAAAAUUAUUGAUUUUGAAUCCUUUCGAUUGCUAAGUAAAUGAUAUCAAAAAAUCGCAAAAAUUAUUUUCUAGAAACUUCAAAUACGCCAGAUCAAGUCUGACGGAGCCGAUCGUCGAUUCGGAAAUUCCAUUAUCGAAAAUGGCUCAGGAGCACGGAGGCCUCCGUGCUCUUGAGAGCACAGCAGCCCUACUAUAUAUAUAUUUCGAGCCUAAUUCGAACGAGCCUCGUGAUAUUCAAGCUCAGAUUGAAAUUAAUUUCGAGCCUAAAUUUAGGCUCAAGUUUGGCUUGAAAUUAGUUCAAGCUGAGCUCGAGCGAGCCGAAUAUUGAGCCGAACAUGAGUCGAACACGAGCCAGCUCGCUCAUUUGCCUGCCCCAAAUAUGAAUAAGCAUUACAUGGACAGGCCAUUUACUCACGGUUUGUAUUAUUUUCGAAAUCUUGCACAUUUAUAUUUAAAAUGAUAAGCAUGUUGCCAAAUUAUCAUGUCACUAGAGUUGAGAGGUGGUUAAAAUCUUAUAUAUUCUUAUAAAAUAUUUAAAUAUUAUAAAAUAUUAUUUUUAUUAAAUUUAAGUUUAAGUAGAAUUUUAAAAAUUAUAAAUUUAUUAAUAAUAAAAAUUUUAAAUUUAUAUAAUUUAAAAAUUCAAAUUUAAAUAUAAUAAGAAAGGUAAUAUCAUUAUUUUUUUAUUGAUAACUACCAACUUUAAUUCUUAUUCCAUCUUAUCUAACCAAACGUUAUUUUUUUUUAUUCUUAGGAAUAACAUAAUUUUUAUCUAAACGCAAAAUUGAACUAGUCCCCGCUUAUACCUCAAUUUAUACAUAUUCCUGAAAUAGCCACUUUUUGCUUAUUCCCGAACCAAACAAUAUCUUAAGUUCUUUUUAAUUAUGGAGCUUUCAAAUCGAUGAUCUAUAGCAUUAAAUAUGAUCUUAUAGUAUUUGAAAUAUCUAAAAAAUAAAUUUUGUAAUCUUCUAAAUUAUAAUAAAGUAUAUCAAUUUGGCAUAAAAUAAAUGGUUGAAAUUGAACGACAUACUAAAGAUGGAUGAUCGGAUCCUUCAAUUUAAGCUUAGAGUUAUUAAUCUUUAUCUAAAUAGUAAAUAAAAUUUUCUUUCAUAAAUUUAGUAAAUUUUGAUUCUUUUACACAGUUAAAUUAGCAAGUAAUUAUAUACCGGCCGUUAAAAUUUUAUUAAUUUUAAAAUUUUUUUUACCAUUAAUUUCUACCUGUUAUAUUAUAUAAUUCAAUUAAACACUCACUCAAUCCUAGGGGACAACUGUCAUCCUAACCGUAUAUCUCUUAAUUUAAGGGCUGGCAACCUACAAGCACCAAUAACUUGGUAUUUUGAGAGCGAAGCUUUUUACAUUUUUAUGUAUACAGGUAUUUCUAUUGCUUCAUCGGAAAUAAAUUGGUAGCAAUCAUGGACAAAUAUUGCUAAGAAGCAAAGAAAUCAUGGACAACUAUUGGGAGAUCAAAUCUUUUUUGUGAUAUAUAUAUUCUGAUAAAUGAUUCGGUACUUUUUUUUACAAAAAAUAAAAAUAAUCUUAACCGUUGAUUAAUAGAGGGUAAAAAUGUAACUUUAAUACUUAGCAGGUAAAAGGAUUAUUUUAUUCAAGGUUAGUUUGGUAAUUAAAUAAUACAAUAUUUAAAGAAACUUUUAAUUAAGGUCCUAAAUUUAUGCAUAAAUUAGCACUAAUUUAGGAAAUUAAUUGAUUAACCAAAUUUAUGAAAUUAUUAGGCAUUAAUUUAGGAAUCUACUUUAAAUGUUUUAGUGUUUCUCAAAUUAUGCAUUAAUUUAAAUUAUAGAAAUUUUAGAAAUAGUUUUAUUUCUAAAUACGAUGAAUUUAAAUUUUAAAAAUUAAAUACUUAAAAUUUAAAAACAAAAUUUAAAUUAGAGGAAUUUUAUAAAUUUGGUUAAUCAAUUAAUUUCCUAAAUUAGUACUAAUUAAUGCAUAAAUUAAGAUCACUACUAAAACCUUUGUAUAUAUUAUAAAAUGUACCGAAUCAUUUCUCUAAUUAGUUUUACUUCUCCAUAAAAAAAUGAACAAUUUUUUACGAUCAUUUUUAGCGAAAUAUUGCACUUAACGGAAUAUAUAUUCAUUACUCGACAACUUUUUAAAUUUUUUAAAAUAUACUAUGGUUUUGGUAGUGAUUAUAAAAUUGAAAGUUUUCUUAGUUUUCGCUUUUGGCCCCAAUUUUUUUUUGUUCUCUCAAGAUAAAUGCAUCAUUAAUCUCCGAUCUUUAGAUUUAUUUAUUUUUUUAAAAACAGAAACUCUAAUUUAAGAAUUUACCAAAAAAUUUUGUCGCUGCUUCUGAAUAGCUCUACUCAACAACUCUUCUUGCAUUUCUUCCUUUUCUCAAGAUAAAUGCAUCAAUAAUCUUCAAUCUUUAGACUUAAUUAUUUUCGACAGUAAAAACUCCNAAUUAGAGAAAUUUUAUAUUACUAUUUAAAGUUUAAAUUCAAUGAUCAUAUUGUCAAAUUAUUUGAAAUUUUUCUUAUAUGAAAUGCCAAAUUAUGAAAGGAAAGAUAGAGAGAACAAAAGGAAACAAAGAAAAAAUAAAAAUUUUGAAAAUAUAGUAGAUGUAAAAUGACUAAAUUGCCUAUGUAUUAAAAGAUAAAAAUAUCCUUUUUUGAGGUAUCUGGUAACCGGUACCUCUCCCAAAGUGACCUGCUAUUGCAGGUCACAAUUUUUAAAAAACUAAAUCUGAAUCGUUGAAUACGCGUGAAUGAACGGUAACAAAAAAAAAAAAAAAAGUAUCGAAGCAUUACUCAUAUAUUCUCUAUCUUUGCUUAAUUAAUCUGGAAGAGAUGCCUGACCUCUUGAGAGCACUAAGAAAAUUCUACAAAUGAUUGUAAUAAGGUUAGUACCACAAAAAUCUCACAUUUGGAAUAAAAUCUUAAAAAUAUCAAAUCACACCCCUCAUCUUCCAGCAAGGAGAAACAUGAGCGGAGCAGCUCCUCCUCCUUAAUUCCCAACUUUCCUCAGGUUCCUAUAGAGGUGUAUCCCAAGCUCCAAGCUUCAAACCCCAACAAUGUAGGAAACGACUUCUUCCCCGUUUAGAGAGAGAAAGAAGAGAACGGGAGAGUGCAAAAGAGAAAUAAGAGGGAGGGUAAGAUUCCUCAAAUGAGACCCUUUCACUUCUCCUUUAGGGUGCGUUUGGUUCGCGCUAUUUUUUAAAAAUUCUUAAUAAUCUAAUAGGAAUAAAAAAAUAUGACGGUGUUUGGCUAAACGCACUAAGUAAUCUAGUUGGUAACAUUAGAUUCACUUGGGAAUAAGAUUCACCCCAAAGUACUAAUCUCAUUCUCUUGAGGGAGGAUGGAUAUCCUCAUAUUAAUGGAUUGGGAUAAUCAUAAUAUAUCUAAUCUUUUUCUUUUUUCUUACCCGCUAGCUAAUUGAUGUUAUUUUUCUUUACACUCUAAUCUUAUUUCUCUCUCUAAACUUAUUUUUCUCUCCAAAAUUUAACCUUGUUUUCUCUUUCUAAACUAAGCUUUCUCUCUCUCUCUUUCUAAAAUUUCAACUCUCUCACUCCCUCUAGUUUCGACUAUAUUUUUCUUUCUAUUUUUUUAAUUAUGCUCUCGCUCUCUAACUUAUACUCUCUCUUCUUUUUUUCUAAAAAGAUGUUGAAACUAUUGUUAACAUUAUCUAAAAUUAAUUAAAUAAAUUAAUUAAUUAAUUGUAUAUUUUUUGUAAUAUUAAAUAACAUGGCUAAUUAAUAUUACUGUGCGAACCAAACACAGAAAUUCCACAUUCUUAGUAAUAGGAUGAAUAAGAAUAAGAUUCUCUAAUAUCUUUUAUUACUAGUAAUCUUUCAUAAUGCGAACCAAACGCACCCUUAGAUUCACAUU
This 4168-nucleotide long non-coding RNA is filed under the name Ananas comosus (pineapple). RNAcentral's name for it is "long non-coding RNA (ACOM_LNC014566)". The record is from RNAcentral. Lineage: Eukaryota; Viridiplantae; Streptophyta; Magnoliopsida; Poales; Bromeliaceae.